GAACACUAGCGGCAGGCGUAAUACAUCCAAGUCGAACGGGAUUCGGGUAGCAAUAUUCGAUGAGAGUGGCGCACGGGUGGGUAACGGGUAUGCAACCUACCUUUGACUGGGGAAUAGCUCCCGAGAAAUCGAAAUUAAUACCCCAUUGUAUCCCUUGGCGGCAUCGCCUGGGGAUUAAAGUUCCGGCGGUCAAAGAUGGGCAUGCGUUCCAUUAGCUUGUUGGUGAGGUAACGGCUCACCAAGGCAACGAUGGCUAGGGGUUCUGAGAGGAUGAUCCCCCACACUGGUAAUGAGACACGGACCAGACUCCUACGGGAGGCAGCAGUAAGGAAUAUUGGGCAAUGGACGAAAGUCUGACCCAGCCAUGCCGCGUGCGAGGAAGACAGCCUUAUGGGUUGUAAACUGCUUUUAUCUAGGGAAUAAACACCCCGGUCAGUGUACCGGGGCUGAAGGACC
This 456-nucleotide ribosomal RNA is filed under the name uncultured bacterium. RNAcentral describes it as "bacterial SSU rRNA". It matches the Rfam family "Bacterial small subunit ribosomal RNA", at positions 31 to 478 of the family's 1533-position model. The record is from RNAcentral.